GUGGGAGCUGGCUUGCCUGCGAUAGCGGUGGGUCCGCUGGCCCAUCUGUUACUGAUGCAUCGCUAUCGCAGGCAAGCCAGCUCCCAC
RNAcentral lists this unclassified non-coding RNA (87 nucleotides) under Pseudomonas yamanorum. The record is from RNAcentral. Lineage: Bacteria; Pseudomonadati; Pseudomonadota; Gammaproteobacteria; Pseudomonadales; Pseudomonadaceae.